RNAcentral lists this long non-coding RNA (1184 nucleotides) under Neogobius melanostomus (round goby). Its description in RNAcentral is "lncRNA (ENSNMLG00000025251.1)". The record is from RNAcentral. Lineage: Eukaryota; Metazoa; Chordata; Actinopteri; Gobiiformes; Gobiidae.
GUUGUCGCUGCGCUCAAGAAGAAGUGCUGCUCUACAAAACCCAAUCCGUGGGACUAUGGGGUGAUGGAUGACCUCCCCUCUGUCGGGAGAGCGGAGUUGCCAUCGCUGGGAAAAAGCAACAUCAAGCCCAGGAAGAAGAGCGGUAGUGCGGGGAUUUCUAUCAGCGUCUACCCCUGGAAGAGUGAGCCGGAGAAUUCGACCUGGCACGUUUCCAAUCUGUCCUUUGCCAAUCCGUUGUACAACUGCCCCGGUGGUGCUAAUGGGCCGGACCGCACGAGCUCUGAAGCACAGCAGUGAAUGACUUUGCAUAUUCAAACUACGCGUUGGGAGUUUGUCUUGAGCCAUUGAGUUGUCAAAUAUGCUUAACAAAAACAUGCUGGCAUUUUAGAGACGUGUGCCUUCGAUUGAUAGGCUCCAAUAGGUUUGAUGUCAAAUUUAAAAAAAUGGAGGGCUAAGUCUCUUAAGAAAUCUACAAACAGAUGCCGAUCACUAUCAUUAUUUGGCAUAUACAACCUGUGGCCUAAAGUCUUUUUAACUGAUAACAUUCCCUACAGUGUGAUUGAAUUCCACCACCUUUUAAUUGUGUGAAAGAAAAUCCCACCUUAGUUUAUCUGUGCUGAAAGAGAGGACAUUAAACUUUAUGCCAGCUUUUGUUUCAUGCGGCUAGGCUCAGUAAUUACAUAAAUAUUCCCCACAAACCAGGACAAAACAUCUGCAUUUUCUCAGACAAAAUCUACCAUGGAAUUCCGGCUUUCCUCCACCUCAGUAUUAAACUAUUAUUAUAUUGAUGGACUUCACAGUGAUGUAAAAUGAGGUUCGUGACUGGAAAACUGAGAAAGUUAUGUGACUGAAACCCAUCUACCAGCCUAAUAUGAUUUUCAGAAGAAGACUCACUAGAUUUCUUUACAUGUUUGGGUUUUUCCGGACAUAAAAGGACUGUGUGUGUUUUCAAAGACAACAGCAACAGAAUUCAGACACACAGCGGUUUUGUUUUGCACUUUGUAGAGUUUAUCCAAAAUAGUCUUUCAAAUGGAGUCCAAACUUCAUUAGUAUCCGUUUCAAUUCCCACAAAGUGCUUGUAAAAUUGUUUGGCUCUGUUUUAUUUGUGAAUAAAAAACCAUUACAAGUCAGACUUCCAGCUGGUUUGUGAGACAGUUUUUCUUACGAACAAAUGCAUCAUAAAC